RNAcentral lists this transfer RNA (83 nucleotides) under Enterococcus italicus. Its description in RNAcentral is "tRNA-Leu". It matches the Rfam family "tRNA". Rfam says of the family: Transfer RNA (tRNA) molecules are approximately 80 nucleotides in length. RNAcentral also lists the same sequence under 1 other name. The record is from RNAcentral. Lineage: Bacteria; Bacillati; Bacillota; Bacilli; Lactobacillales; Enterococcaceae.
GCGGAUAUGGCGGAAUUGGCAGACGCGUACGCUUGAGGGGCGUAUGGCCUUAGGUCGUGUGGGUUCGAGUCCCAUUGUCCGCA